This is an RNA transcript of Chelonoidis abingdonii (Abingdon island giant tortoise), 2738 nucleotides long. It is a transcript of the gene named interleukin 15 receptor subunit alpha, with no coding region annotated. Lineage: Eukaryota; Metazoa; Chordata; Testudines; Testudinidae. The record is from RefSeq and is a predicted model, not a curated record.
UCAUAGUUUGCCUAACCCGACCUACACACAUUGAUUUUUCAGCCCAGAAGCCUGAGUCCCCUGAGCCUGAAUCAGCUGAUCUACACCACCCACAGGGUUCUUUUUAAUCCCCCCUAGAGUCUGCCCAGUUUGUGGAAGGUUCAACUGGGUAAUUUGAUGGAGGGGGGGGCGGGCUGUGAGAGAACAAGACACAGCAAUUAAUAGCGUGACCCUAGAACAAGCUCCCAAGAGAGCUAGUGGUGUCAGUGCCCUCCCUCUGUCCACCAGCCGCUUGGUUCCACGCGUCACCUUCCCUCUCGGUGCUGGAUGGGAGGUGACUUGGAUUCACCCAGGUGCCGGAGGGCUGGAGCCACGUGUCACUAUCCCUUGGGUUGCUGAGAGUCAAACUGUCCCCUCCCCCCCUCGCUUGCAAAUGCCCCAUACCACACUGCUGCGACUUUAAUGCGAAACCGAAAGCGAAAGGCGCCGAGUCCACUCGAAUUAAGUUUCCCCAAACUCUUCUGCGGACUUUUGCAGGCGCCUGGGCGGAUCCGCCGAGCCAGGACUUUGCGCCCUCACAUGCUCCCCUCUUUCAGGUGCCUUUCGGGGUUGCAACGUGCCCAGCCUGAUACCCCGAUGAAGCUGCCGCCGUCCCGGCCCCAGCCGCCGGGGAUCUGACCCUGGGCCCUCGCCCUGCAGAGGCUGGGCUCUUCCCUAGCGCUUCCCAUGCCAUGGCCCGGCUGCUGCUCCUGCUCUGCGGCAUCGUCGGGCUCCUGCCCGCCGGCACCAGCGCGCCCGCGCUGCGAGAAAGAUGCAGCAUGCCAAAGGAGGUCAACAACGCAGAUGUUACGGUCGGCAAUAAUAAUUUGUUGAAUUCCAGCCUCCGGUACACAUGCAAAGAUGGUUACAAAAGGAAAGCUGGGACAUCCAGCCUCAUUGUGUGUGUAAUGGACGAAGUCACCAAAACACUCCAUUGGACAGAGCCAAAUCUAUGUUGUAUUAGGGACCCCGCUCUACCUCCUUUAACUUCCAGCCCCAAACAGACCACAUCAGCACCUAGGACAGAGGCGACCAAUCUUGUCAGCAGAGAAUCAAAGACUUUUACACCAUCUAAACCACCAGUAACCAGAGUAACUGCAGAGGUUACCACAGUCCCAGUCAUGGCCUCCACACCAUCCUAUGAAAGGGAGACCACCUCACCACUAGCAGGCUCCGUCUCACAGCUCAGGACUGACAAGCCUUCACGGGAAACACUUGCAACAGCAACAACUGAGAUCAGGUCAUCGAAAGCGCCUGGUUGCGUGACCAUGGAAGACAUAACACAAUGGCACACUACAGCCACCCAGGACACACACACGUCCCAGCUCUGGACGGAUAAGCCAUUGCUGAAAACAGUUACAACAGAAGGAGAUUGGUCAACAGCAGGACCAGCCAGUGUGACCACAGGAGACUCAACACAGCUUCUCACAGCAGUCAUCCAUAACACUAAAGUUUCCACCCAAGUUAUGCUCUCUUCUGUGGGGUUUCCCAUGUUGCUGACCUUUGUAGCUGUUGCAUUAUGUUGUGUCUGGAGACAGCGAGUCCACAUGAGGCGACAAUACACAAUACCUGUGAUAGCCAUUCCCAUGACUGCAGAGGAGUCAGAACAAAGGGAUGGAACACCACCAGAAGACAGUGGCUCAAAUGGUCCAGAACAACCAAGUGAAGGGACAGAGAUGAUGUCAUCAUCUUGUGUGACAUCGACUGGUUGAACAAUAACACUUAGUGAAAUCAGUGUAUCCGUUAAACUUGAAAGGGGAAGGGAUCCUUGCUGCUCGCAAAGACCAACAGGCCAGUUGGAUUAGGUGCUGACUUGUCAGUUACCACAUGUCAGCUACUCAAUUUGAGAUUGGAAAUACAGCCUCAUUUCUAAGCUGUGGCAAGUGUGCAGCAGAUCUGAUUUCCUGGCCCACCAUCGUUUCAAAGAGAGGAUAGGAAUGGUCUCAUAAACCUUACUGCAUCCUUCCUCUGUUCUUUGAGCUGAACAUCCUGUACUCAUAAGAGAGUGUCUAGAUAACUUGGACAUAUCUUUUAAUUCUUAUUUUAAUGAAUGGUUGCUUUCAAAAGAGAAAUCACACAGGCAUUUAAAUGCCCAAGGAGAACUGUCCAUGUGGAAAGUUCUGAAAAAACUUCAGGUGGCCUCUUAUAUGCAGUGUAAAGACGACGCCAGAGAAGAAGUGGUUGGUGAUCUGAUAGUGAAGAACACAGCUUAGGACCACCUAGGACCCAGACAGAGAGAACAGAAAGACGGCAUUUACCUACAAAGCCAUCAAGCGAAGAACACAGCUUGUUUUCCUGCUGCUACCAGCAAAAUCCUGAGUAAAGAGCAAGUCUGAGAAUCAGAAAACUCACGUCUAACUAUUUUGGGGUCAGCCAUGAUCAUUUGCUCAGGAAUCUUUCAGAAACAUGUUAGAAUCUGAUCCCAGGUGCUUGCAAGUUCCAGGUGCAUCCAGAAGACAAGAGACAGAUGUCCUUUGGGCCACACCACCACCAGCAGCAUAGCACUUUUACAGAUGUUACACAAUGGCCAUUGUAAUGGAAAUAUUUUACAUUGCCGUUUUCCCUCCCAGGGAGAGCAUGUACCUAUAUUCUGGGGGGGGCUUCUUUUCAAAUAGCCCCCUACUCCACCUUGGCCUAGUCCUCAGCCAAUCCCUCAUGCUGUACAAUACAUUAACACAUUGCUUUGCAGCACUGAAUCUAAUAAAUAUUUUUAUAGACAG